AGCCCAGAGCCGCUGCUGCUGUCAGGCCUGCGUUGGAAGCUGGGAGACGCAGAUCACAGAUCAGGAUGAGCGCCUCGUGGCCGGCGCGGAGCGCAGCGUGAAUACUGAGUGCUUACAGGCCCUCAGACCUUCUGGAGAGUAACCGGGACCAGAGGGCCGCUUCCUUCUCUUGUUGCAGCACAUUUACACUCAAACACUCCUCCCGUCUAUUACAGUUUGACUUGUUUUAAUCCUUUUGUGGUUAAUAAAUGAAUAUAUUUGUGUG
Molecule: long non-coding RNA, 265 nt
Organism: Pseudoliparis swirei
Lineage: Eukaryota; Metazoa; Chordata; Actinopteri; Perciformes; Liparidae
Exons: 2
Source: RefSeq, a predicted model, not a curated record